RNAcentral lists this non-coding RNA (160 nucleotides) under human gut metagenome. RNAcentral describes it as "Lysine riboswitch". It matches the Rfam family "Lysine riboswitch aptamer". From Rfam's summary of the family: Riboswitches are metabolite binding domains within certain messenger RNAs that serve as precision sensors for their corresponding targets. Allosteric rearrangement of mRNA structure is mediated by ligand binding, and this results in modulation of gene expression. The record is from RNAcentral.
UAUGAUAGAGGUUGCGGUUAUCAAGAGUACGUUUUCUGUUUGACAGGCGAAUUAGAAAACGGAAAGGGAUCGCCGCCGAAGCUUCUGCAGGUCGCCUGGCCUGCCGUUGCUGGGACUCCGGAUAAAAUCCGGUGGACUGUCGCUAAAGCGGAGAGCUGUC